Long non-coding RNA from Columba livia (rock pigeon), 2988 nucleotides. RefSeq lists it as uncharacterized. The transcript is spliced from 4 exons. The record is from RefSeq and is a predicted model, not a curated record. Lineage: Eukaryota; Metazoa; Chordata; Aves; Columbiformes; Columbidae.
AAGAGUGAUACGCUUCAUGGAUGGCAGCUUUUUUAAUGCCCACUAGUUUUAACCAGCUGCUCACAUAUUAAAAUCUCAAGAGACUAAUACUUGAAUUCAGAAUAUUUUCAGAAGAGCAGUGAAGGAAAUCUCAGGAGACAGUCUAUCUAUGAGCCUAAGACAUCAAAAUUUCCAGAAACCUAGGAGACUGAUUUCACUGAAAAAUUUCACUGACAAGAAAGUUUAUGGAAGAAAGACACUGCUGUAGUUAUAAGAGAUCAUUUAAUUUAAAAAAAUAUGGCUAAUUUAGUUGGACAACCUAUGAAGAGAUAAAAGUCAGGUUCAUCGCAGAAUCACAGAAGACAUCGGGUUGGAAGGCACCUUUGGAUGCCAUCAGGUCCUGCCCACUUCUCUUAUGCACCAAGGUGAAAAGAAGGGGAUGAGGUGCUGCAGGUGCUGGAGCAGGUCUGUGUCCUAGUGAUGAAGUUAAUUGUGACUUACUCUUUGAAACGCAUGACCCACCAGAAGAGGCUCAGGCAACUGGUCUUACUUAGCCUAGAGAAGAAAAGAAGAGGUGGACUGCAAAAGGAACAUAAGAGAAGCAUUCCAAUGCCCAUGGGGCAAUUAUCAAUAAGAUGACAUCAGGCUCUUUACAGAUUUGCAUGACAGGAGGACAAGGAAUAAUCAAUAUAAAUUGAAAGAGGCAGAAGUUCUAAUUUAAGGGGUGGGAUGGACAGGAAUGCCAUGAAGACAGACAAGUGUUGGAACAGGUUUCCCAGAGAUAUUGUGAAAUGUGUCUCUUGGAGGUUUUCAAGACCAGACUUCAUAAAGCUCUGAGCAACCUGGUCAGAGCUCACAGCUGACCCUGCUUUGAGCACAGUUGGAAUAGAGACCUCUUGAGGUUUCUCCAGCCUGAAUGGCUCUACAAUUCAUUACCCAUUCUGUCCUGUCUCUUCUCUGGUUAAAUAAUAAUAGAUUCUAAAGAAAAACUAACUGCUUUAGGAUGGUUUCUAAUAUCAUAUUCAUAAGGGAAUUAGUUUUGUGGUUGACUUACUGCCAGUGAUUAGGAGCUGUGCAAAUGUGCAGCUCUCAUUAAAAAGUACUAUAGUUUUGCUGACUUAGUCAUUCAGACACAUGCUCAUCCCAUUUAGUUGCAGCCAAAGGCAACUAGUAUCUUGUACGGUGCUGUUUGUUUAUAAGCUCCCUUUCACAAAGGCCGUGUGAAUAUCUGACAGUUUUUGACUCAGUUCUCAAGCAGAAAGUUCAGAAUUCUAGUAAUUAAAGUAAUCUUGCAUGCUGAAAUGAAAAACUGAGAGGGGUCAUCCUGGUCAGAAGGCUGAAUAAAGACUGAUGGCAUGCAGAUUUCAUUCAGUCUGAAAAUGUUUUGUCUCUGUGCACUUGUAAGUAAGCAAGUGAAAGAGGGAUAGGUCUACAGGAGACACUGGACAUAAUUUGAAAGAAGAGAAGCUUGGACUGCAUAUGUGUCACCGUUUACUGCAGGACAGCAAUAAACCGUGGCAGAUGCUCUCUGUUAACACCUCCCCCUUUCCACAAAGGAAAGGUAAUAGGAGGAAAAGAGAGCGAGACUUGCAAGUUGGAAAAAAUUAAGAAUGCUUUGGUAAUGCUACUAAUAAAUGGAGAAAAAUAAUACAAAAUAUACAAAACCAAUCUUGAAUUUCCCGGUGCAGUGCAGUGUUGCCGGCAGCAGAGCUGGUGCUGCUCCAGCAGCUGCUGGGCAGGCAACCGAAAGCCCUGGGCUGGACUCUACAGUAAACCAGAACUGGAUUCAGAGACGCAGGGUCUGGAGCCAGGCCUUGGAUCACAGGCACGAUAGGCAGACUGCUCUUCAGAUGCUGGUUAUGGUCAAAGAGAGCGAGAUCCUCAUGAUCCUCCACUUUUCUAGGGUGUAUGGUGUGUAUGGGAUGGAAUACUUAGUUGGUCAAUUUUAGUCACCUGUCUGUCCCUCCUUGCAAAUAUGCCCCUCUCACUUAUGGGAUGUGCGAAAUUUAUCAGCAACCUUGGCUGCCAUAGCAAUAAGUCUAAACCUGGGCUUCUUCUGCAUACCAUUGUUACUCUUAUCACCUCUGGAGUGAACAGUGUCUGAAAAAUAUGCAGCCAAAUUCAAAAAAGUAUAGUUACUUACAAGAACUCAGUUGAAAGGAAAAUUUGCUAAUAGAAAAACUGGUUUUGUUUUUAACAAAACCAGAACAGUAUGGGAAAACCUUUUCACUGUGAGAAGAGUCAAACAGUGGAAGAGGUUGCUCACACAGACUGUGCAAUCUUCAUACUUGUAUGCUUUCAAAGUCCAACUAAGACACUGAACAACCUAGUUUCGUCUCAUAGCUGACUAAGUAGGAGAUUGGAGUAGACAUCUCAACUUAAACCUGGGAAUAAUACCAGUUCUUCCUACUGCAGUGUCAGUGAUCAGUUUACAUGACAAAGUGUUAAGUGUCAUGAUAUAUAAUGGUCUGGACUUGGGUGACACCUGAUGACACUGUUCUAGUUCAUUAAAGAAAUUAUUUGGUGCAAGAAUGGGAAUCAUAAGUUUUCCAACUGCCCAGUAAGUGUGCUGGAAGGUAGAACACAUAUCAAGCCAUGAAAUCAGUCUCCCUGGCUUUAUUUGCUUUACUGUUUUAAAAAAAAUAGGAAAGCCAAGAGUGAGACCGUGUUAUAUUUGCUAUCUAAUAGUUGCAUGUUUAGGCUACACUUGAUACAUGACCUGGCUUUGAACUACUACUUGCAAGACAGAAAGACCCCCUCAUUUUCAUUUUUUUUGUUUAUUUGUUUGUUUUUGUUUUGUUUGUUUGUUUGUUUGGGGGGGUUGUUUGUUUGUCUUUGUUUUAUUUUGUUCUGCUUGUUUUUUUGGUUUGUUGGUUGGUUGGGGUUGGUUUGUUUGUUUGUUUGUUUUUAGAGCAAGUGGUAUCUAUGUACAGCUUAUGCCUAGACCCUUCAUUCUCACCCCACCCACUUUGACAAAGGACUGUCCCUAAUAAAAAAGAUCUGAUAUUU